GUGGACUAAAAAAGUACCUCAAACUGCAGCCUGGUUUUUCUUAUGAAAGUUUCAUUAAAGAAGAAUUUGUGCCAGCAGGUUCUUCUACUCUAAAUUCUUCACUUUUCUGAAGUGAUAUGGAGAGGUCCUCUUCAAACAAGGGGCAUCAAUCUCCUGGUGCAGGAGAGAACACCUCUGCCAUAGGGGAUGCAGCAGAAAAGGCCAAAUGGAUGGUCCAGGAGGUUCUGGAGAAGAGUUCAGGGGGAGAGGAAACAAUGGAGGAGUAUAAGAGAUUGAGCACCGUGACACACUGCACAAGACGGCAUCAU
This is a long non-coding RNA of Alosa alosa (allis shad), 308 nucleotides long. RefSeq lists it as uncharacterized. The transcript has 3 exons. Lineage: Eukaryota; Metazoa; Chordata; Actinopteri; Clupeiformes; Clupeidae. The record is from RefSeq and is a predicted model, not a curated record.